RNAcentral lists this transfer RNA (66 nucleotides) under Ornithoptera priamus. Its description in RNAcentral is "tRNA-Asn". The record is from RNAcentral. RNAcentral also lists the same sequence under 1 other name. Lineage: Eukaryota; Metazoa; Arthropoda; Insecta; Lepidoptera; Papilionidae.
UUAAUUGAAACCAAAAUAGAGGUAUAUCACUGUUAAUGAUAUUAAUGAAUUCAAAUUCCAAUUAGA